Molecule: long non-coding RNA, 938 nt
Filed under: Canis lupus familiaris (dog)
Lineage: Eukaryota; Metazoa; Chordata; Mammalia; Carnivora; Canidae
Description: lncRNA (ENSCAFG00000056968.1, ENSCAFG00805002279.1)
Source: RNAcentral
GGGGCCACCAAGCCGGCUCUCCUCCUCACAGAAGCCAGGGCCGGGCAUCCAAGAAGCAGCAGGCAGCCCCGGUUCUGGUGUCAUCGUGGGUGGCCACCUUGGCUUUUAGGCUUCCUACCUGGGGCGGGUGGGUGCUCGCCCACCCUCCCGCCCUCUUUCCUCUCCACUCGUGAGCCAGAGCCGCAUCCAGCACCACGGACAGCUCCCUGACGGCAGCCUUAGAGUCUCAGGAAGAGGAAAAGGCUGAGGGCAGUUGGCAUUCCAUCUUCAGGAAAUUGCAUUUGUCCUCUUUGAUCCCAAGAGAGUGAAGGAGUUAUGACCAAGGUCACUCAGCUGGGUAGUGGAAAUGCCAAGAUGCAGCCUCCUGAACUCCAGCCUGGCCCUGCCUACGGAGGCUCAUGGUAGGAGCCAGGAAAAAAGGGGAGGAGAAGAGAGAGAAAAGGGGAGAGAUUUUGUUUUCAUCAAAGUGUGUGGGGGGGGAGGUGGCAGGAAGAGGACAGAAAUAAAAACUCACACUACUUUCUUUCUUCCCUUCUGUCGCCCCUCCCUGAGCUGUACUCAGAUGCCAAAGAGAGAUGCCAAGGGGCCAGCUUUUCUGUCCUUUUUUGUCUUGCUUCCUCUGGCCUUGGCUCCCCAGCCUGGCCCCCCACCUUGCUGGGCUCAGGCUUCAGGAAGAGAGAGACGGCUGCCCUAAGAUGGCCACCUCUGACAGGUGGAUGGACACAGCGGCGGCGGGCCGGCCAGAACAUGGAGGAGUCUUCCUGCCAGUGGAGUUGGGAAGAGAGGAUGAGAGAGAGGAAGGCAGGAGGAGUGAGACAUGGCAGCCCGAAAGGAGGAUGAGCCCGGCACGGGAGCAGGGCUGGGGGAGAGGCCUUCCUUCCUUCCAGACCCCUGGUGAACACCGGUGGUCAGAGGCCUUGACGAAGGAUCUGAUGGAC